This 253-nucleotide ribosomal RNA is filed under the name uncultured bacterium. RNAcentral describes it as "partial 16S ribosomal RNA". It matches the Rfam family "Bacterial small subunit ribosomal RNA", at positions 524 to 776 of the family's 1533-position model. The record is from RNAcentral.
UACAGAGGGGGCAAGCGUUAUUCGGAAUUAUUGGGCGUAAAGGGCGCGUAGGCGGCUUGGCAAGUGGAAGGUGAAAUCCCUCGGCUUAACCGAGGAACUGCCCUCCAAACUGCUUCGCUUGAGACCGGGAGAGGUGAGUGGAAUUCCCAGUGUAGCGGUGAAAUGCGUAGAUAUUGGGAGGAACACCAGUGGCGAAGGCGGCUCACUGGACUGGUACUGACGCUGAUGCGCGAAAGCGUGGGGAGCAAACGGG